Molecule: transfer RNA, 69 nt
Filed under: Varanus scalaris
Lineage: Eukaryota; Metazoa; Chordata; Lepidosauria; Squamata; Varanidae
Description: tRNA-Trp
Rfam family: tRNA
About the family: Transfer RNA (tRNA) molecules are approximately 80 nucleotides in length. Their secondary structure includes four short double-helical elements and three loops (D, anti-codon, and T loops). Further hydrogen bonds mediate the characteristic L-shaped molecular structure. tRNAs have two regions of fundamental functional importance: the anti-codon, which is responsible for specific mRNA codon recognition, and the 3' end, to which the tRNAs corresponding amino acid is attached (by aminoacyl-tRNA synthetases). tRNAs cope with the degeneracy of the genetic code in two manners: having more than one tRNA (with a specific anti-codon) for a particular amino acid; and 'wobble' base-pairing, i.e. permitting non-standard base-pairing at the 3rd anti-codon position.
Source: RNAcentral
AGAAAUUUAGGUUAACUAAACCAAGGGCCUUCAAAGCCCUAAAAGAAAGUACUAAACUCUCAAUUUCUG